RNAcentral lists this ribosomal RNA (460 nucleotides) under uncultured bacterium. RNAcentral's name for it is "partial 16S ribosomal RNA". It matches the Rfam family "Bacterial small subunit ribosomal RNA", at positions 338 to 795 of the family's 1533-position model. The record is from RNAcentral.
CCUACGGGAGGCAGCAGUGAGGAAUAUUGGUCAAUGGGCGUGAGCCUGAACCAGCCAAGUAGCGUGAAGGAUGACUGCCCUACGGGUUGUAAACUUCUUUUAUAAAGGAAUAAAGUGAGGCACGUGUGCCUUUUUGUAUGUACUUUAUGAUUAAGGAUCGGCUAACUCCGUGCCAGCAGCCGCGGUAAUACGGAGGAUCCGAGCGUUAUCCGGAUUUAUUGGGUUUAAAGGGAGCGUAGAUGGGUUGUUAAGUCAGUUGUGAAUGUUUGCGGCUCAAGCGUAAAAUUGCAAUUGAUACUGGCGGUCUUGAAUACGGAUGCGGUAGGCGGAAUUCGUGGUGUAGCGGUGAAAUGCUUAGAUAUCACGAAGAACUCCGAUUGCGAAGGCAGCUUACGAAACUGCCACUGACAUUGAUGCUCGAAAGUGUGGGUAUCAAACAGGAUUAGAUACCCGAGUAGUC